Molecule: long non-coding RNA, 2575 nt
Organism: Medicago truncatula (barrel medic)
Lineage: Eukaryota; Viridiplantae; Streptophyta; Magnoliopsida; Fabales; Fabaceae
Exons: 3
Source: RefSeq, a predicted model, not a curated record
UUGCAGAAUUCCCAUUCAGUUUCAUUUCUUCUUUCCCUUUCUCUCUCAUCUGAGAACGCGAUCUCUAUUCUUCUCCCAACCAAAGCAAGCGACCGAUCAUUACAUCCACCACCACACCACCGCUGGUGAGCCGCGACCACUCUCCUCCUUCUCCAUCCAUCACCGCUGCAUACUCCUCCAUCUUCUGUUUCGAUUCUUCAGUUUAGAGACAUCUCUCUCCACAACAAACCCUAAUUGUUGUAACUUAUUAUCAAGGUCUCACCAAGUCAUUCAAUCAUGGAAAGAUCUAUUGCUCCUCUGUUACAGCCAGACUUGUAAAUAUGAACAUAGGAAUUCCAUAUGAUAAAUUACAUAUUUUGCCUCUAAACCAAAAGAUUGAAAUAGCUGGUAUUAGCGUGACUUGUUUGGAUGCCAACCAUUGUCCAGGUUCCAUACUUAUACUCUUUGAACCUCCGAAUGGUAAGAGGAGUCUGAAACAGACAGUGAAGAGUCGGAUGUGAGUGGUUCUGAUGGAGAGGACACAUCUUGGAUCUCAUGGUUCUGCAAUCUCAGAGGAAAUGAGUUCUUUUGUGAGGUUGAUGAUGAUUACAUCCAAGAUGACUUCAACCUUUGUGGAUUGAGCAGCCAAGUGCCUUACUAUGAUUAUGCUCUUGAUUUGAUUUUGGAUGUUGAAUCCUCUCAUGGUGAGCUUUCCUUCAUAUUUUGUUGGAUUUAUUGUACAAGCACUACGCCAAUUUUGAGAUUUAGUAGCGCUAAUUUAAUAGCACUUGUAUGGUUAAGUAGCUUUUUCACAAUUUUAUUUUUAUUGAAUUUUAAUUAAAUCUGUUACCAGAAACUUUGUGAAGUUUUUUGGCUAAGUACUAAUGUGUGUUUGACUUCAGUCCGUCCAUACUGAAACAUAUGUAUUAUCUAUUAAGUUAACCUAUAUCUUCUCAUUAAAAGAAUUCAAUUUGAACUUGCAAAAAAAAAAAAAAAAAAGAAUUCAAUAUGAACUUGCAGAAGAAGCUGAUUUGUGAUAGAGAAAUUUGUAUAGGCUAUUAAACUUAAAACUAACGGAAAAGUAUAUAAAAGUGACACAUUAUUACAAUUCAUGAUAGAACUCAUAAGUGACAUUAGUCUAUCUUUUUUACAAGUGACACAUUAUCACAAUUCUUAAUGGAACUAAUAAAUGAAAACAAAAUAUAGAAAAAGUGAAAUGAAAAUAAUAUUUAUUAAGAAAGAAUUGUUAUGUCUAGUAGUACCUUAAGGCUUUAUAUAGCCAAUUAGACUAACGGUUGUUUUAACGAGUUUCGACGCAUUGUUUUUUUCAGUUUUAGGAGUUGUGUUAUUACCAGCUCGUUGUGGGUGUUUUUGGCUGGUUUUUUGUUAUCUUGAAGAUUUUUAGCUUUGGGUGUUUGGAGUUGUUCAGAGGUUUUUUUUCCUGUUUUAUGGUGUGGGCUGAUUUGGGUAUUGAUUUAGAUGGGAUUCAAUGGCUAUCAAGUAUGUCUAUAUGUGGGACUUAGCAUUGAAAAUGGCUAUCACAUGGCUUCUUUUACUCAAAAUGAAACUUACGUCAUGUAGUACAAAGUGAGGGAAGCUUUUGAUGGAAGCUUUUGGUAGGUUUUAGGUUGAGAAUAAUCUAAAUGAUUUUGUGUAACAAAAAUUUUCAUGUUGCUGUCUUGGGGAUUCUAGUGCCGUGUCAGCAUGGAGAUUGGCUCAGCAUGGUUUGUUGCUGUCUUGGGGAUUCUUUCGGUUCUGCUGUUUUCUAUUGUCCUUGUUAUUUUUUGUUGUCCUGGCCUGUUGUUGGUGUAUUGUUCCCUUGCCCUUUUAGGUACUACUUGUGUCGGGGCCUGUUGUUGGUUUGUUGUUUAGGCUGGCGCGGUCUGAAGACCUUCUGCAGCUGCUGGUAUGUUGUUACAAAAAAAAAAAACUAUGACUGUGUGAAGGUUUGAAUGCAUAAACUCUCACCUCAAUUUUCUUUAUUAUUUUGAUUUUGUCACUAAAAUUUGUGGGUGUUUGAGAUGUUUGAAUUGUUCAGUUAAUGUUAAUUUCUUGUUUCAUUUUUUUUUGUUUUCUAGAAGCUUUGAUAACACGUUAAUUGACAUUUAAGGGUCAAGCAACAUUUAAGAGUUUCCCUGAUAGCUCGGUAUGGUGGUGAUCACUUUUUGCUUGACACACUAAAGACCAUGUAUCCUUCAAGCGUUUCUUAAGCUUGGCAGUUAUCUCCAAGCUGAGGCAGAUUGUACAAAAGCAAUAAGUCUUGACAAAAAGAGUAUGAAGGCAUGCUUCCAUACAAGUACAACUAGAGAGAUGCUGGGCUACUACAAAGAAGCAAUUGAUGAUUUUAGAUAUGCCCUUGUACUUGAGCCAACCAACAAAAGGGCUGCUUCAGAUGCUGAAAGAUUGAGGAAUCUAAUACUCAAGAAGAGUUGAAGGAUUUGCAAGGAUUUUGAGUUAGGAGGGAGAUCAAGAUCAAAUUUUCCUAUAUUAUGAUAAUUACUUUAUUAUGUUAGUUUUUAGAUUGUACGAAUAUUAUUGAUAUAUUCAUGGUUUUGUACGAAAAUGAUUUAUGGAUUGUACGAAUAUUAUGAUGAUA